Oncorhynchus kisutch (coho salmon) is the source of this 401-nucleotide long non-coding RNA. RefSeq lists it as uncharacterized. The transcript has 5 exons. The record is from RefSeq and is a predicted model, not a curated record. Lineage: Eukaryota; Metazoa; Chordata; Actinopteri; Salmoniformes; Salmonidae.
CUCCUCUACCCAAAGCCACCAGCCCACGUACAGACUAGAUAGAUACCCUGGGCGCUGACUGUACCCACUAUGGUCCUGCUGGGUUAAAGAAGGGAUCCGUUCCCCCAACCCCUGCCUCUCACCCAAUGGCCCCUAGCCUGCCCCCGCGACCACCAGAAGCCAUAAUCCAACCUGACCCAGAAGAGAACUAUGAUGUUACGUACGCCUCUAGGAAGAGGGAACGCAACACCCUGCUAGAAUUCAACUCUCAAAAGGACAGUGAAAGUGAUGAAAUGUAUGAAGAUCUUGAUGAAAGAUGACUCCAACGAGACAUGCCCGGCAGAAUCUGAAAUACCUGGUGAAAAAAGUCAAGAGCCCCUGGUUUCCGCGAUUCGUCAGAACAGCCCUCGUCAAAAAAGCCG